AGCCAUCCGAGAUGAACGCUUCCCUGUUGCGGGAGGCGUGGCGUACGGCUCAGUAACACGUAGUCAACCUGCCCUNCGGGUCGAGAACAAUCUCGGGAAACUGAGGCUAAUGCUCGAUAGAUCAAGAUUCCUGGAAUGGGUUUUGGUCCAAAAGGAGUGACAGCAUCUUGUCACUUUGCCCGAGGAUGGGACUGCGGCCGAUCAGGCUGUUGGUGGGGUAAUGGCCCACCAAACCUGUAACCGGUACGGGCCUUGAGAGAGGGGGCCCGGAGAUGGACACUGAGAGAAGGGUCCAGGUCCUACGGGGCGCAGCAGGCGCGAAACCUUCACAAUGCGCGAAAGCGUGAUGAGGUUAAUCCGAGUGGUCCCCGCUGAGGGGAUCUUUUGUCGGCUGUAAAAAGGCCGGUGAAUAAGGGGAGGGCAAGUCUGGUGUCAGCCGCCGCGGUAA
RNAcentral lists this ribosomal RNA (448 nucleotides) under uncultured archaeon. RNAcentral describes it as "bacterial SSU rRNA". It matches the Rfam family "Archaeal small subunit ribosomal RNA", at positions 47 to 473 of the family's 1478-position model. The record is from RNAcentral.